This 591-nucleotide ribosomal RNA is filed under the name uncultured fungus. RNAcentral describes it as "eukaryotic LSU rRNA". It matches the Rfam family "Eukaryotic large subunit ribosomal RNA", at positions 48 to 654 of the family's 3401-position model. Lineage: Eukaryota; Fungi. The record is from RNAcentral.
UAGCGGAGGAAAAGAAACCAACAGGGAUUGCCCUAGUAACGGCGAGUGAAGCGGCAACAGCUCAAAUUUGAAAUCUGGCGUCUUUGGCGUCCGAGUUGUAAUUUGCAGAGGGCGCUUUGGCAUUGGCAGCGGUCCAAGUUCCUUGGAACAGGACGUCACAGAGGGUGAGAAUCCCGUACGUGGUCGCUAGCCUUUACCGUGUAAAGCCCCUUCGACGAGUCGAGUUGUUUGGGAAUGCAGCUCUAAAUGGGAGGUAAAUUUCUUCUAAAGCUAAAUACUGGCCAGAGACCGAUAGCGCACAAGUAGAGUGAUCGAAAGAUGAAAAGCACUUUGGAAAGAGAGUUAAAAAGCACGUGAAAUUGUUGAAAGGGAAGCGCUUGCAGCCAGACUUGCCUGUAGUUGCUCAUCCGGGUUUUUACCCGGUGCACUCUUCUAUAGGCAGGCCAGCAUCAGUUUGGGCGGUUGGAUAAAGGUCUCUGUCACGUACCUCCUCUCGGGGAGAACUUAUAGGGGAGACGUAAUGCAACCAGCCUGGACUGAGGUCCGCGCAUCUGCUAGGAUGCUGGCGUAAUGGCUGUAAGCGGCCCGUCU